RNAcentral lists this ribosomal RNA (628 nucleotides) under uncultured eukaryote. RNAcentral describes it as "SSU rRNA". It matches the Rfam family "Eukaryotic small subunit ribosomal RNA", at positions 610 to 1146 of the family's 1831-position model. The record is from RNAcentral.
UUGUUGCGGUUAAAACGUUCGUAGUUGAAUUUGUGUCCCACACGGGUAAUUGGCCCACUUACGGGUUCUUAUUACUUGCCGGCUUGCUGGCUUUAGUGUGCGGACGUUUUACCGGUGAGGGAAACGGUGUAGUUUCGGCUGCAAUACGCCCCUUAUUUAUUUCAUAAACCCGUCUUGGUGCUUUUAAUCGAGUGCCAAUGUGGGCCGGUACUAUUACUUUGAACAAAUUAGAGUGCUUAAAGCAGGCUAAAUUUAAUGAAAGUUAAAACGCCUGAAUAUAUUUUGCAUGGAAUAAUGGAAUAGGACCUCUGUUCUACUUUCAUUGGUUUUUAGACCAAGAGGUAAUGAUUAAUAGAAGCAGUUGGGGGCACUAGUAUUACGAGGCGAGAGGUGAAAUUCGUAGACCCUCGUAAGACUAACUUAAGCGAAAGCAUUUGCCAAGGAUGUUUUCAUUAAUCAAGAACGAAAGUUAGAGGAUCGAAGGCGAUCAGAUACCGCCCUAGUUCUAACCAUAAACGAUGCCAGCUAGCAAUUGUAUGUAGCUACUAAUUUUGGUUCAUACAGUCGCUUUCCGGGAAACCAAAGCUUUUGGGCUCCGGGGGAAGUAUGGUUGCAAAGCUGAAACUUA